Molecule: ribosomal RNA, 440 nt
Filed under: uncultured bacterium
Lineage: Bacteria
Description: partial 16S ribosomal RNA
Rfam family: Bacterial small subunit ribosomal RNA
Source: RNAcentral
CCUACGGGAGGCAGCAGUGGGGAAUAUUGCACAAUGGGGGGAACCCUGAUGCAGCGACGCCGCGUGAGUGAAGAAGUACUUCGGUAUGUAAAGCUCUAUCAGCAGGGAAGAAAAUGAACGUUCCUGACUAAGAAGCCCCGGCUAAAUACGUGCCAGCCGCCGCGGGAAUACGUAGGGGGCAAGCGUUAUUCGGAUGUAAGGGGUGGAAAGGGAGCGUUGACGGCAGAGCAAAGCUGAAGUGAAAGCCCGCCGCCCAACUGGGGGACUGCUUUUGAAACUGCCCGGCUAGAGUGCUGGAGAGGUAAGCGGAAUUCCUAGUGUAGCGGUGAAAGGCGUAGAUAUUAGGAGGAACACCAGUGGCGAAGGCGGCUUACUGGACAGUAACUGACGUUGAGGCUCGAAAGCGUGGGGAGCAAACAGGAUUAGAUACCCCGGUAGUC